GGAAAGAUGCCGGAGUGGUCGAUCGGGACGGUCUCGAAAACCGUUGUACUCUUACGGGUACCCAGGGUUCGAAUCCCUGUCUUUCCG
Molecule: transfer RNA, 87 nt
Filed under: Bacteroides sp.
Lineage: Bacteria; Pseudomonadati; Bacteroidota; Bacteroidia; Bacteroidales; Bacteroidaceae
Also listed under: 1 other name
Description: tRNA-Ser
Rfam family: tRNA
About the family: Transfer RNA (tRNA) molecules are approximately 80 nucleotides in length. Their secondary structure includes four short double-helical elements and three loops (D, anti-codon, and T loops).
Source: RNAcentral